CCUCCUCCCAAGUUACUACUAGUCCAACCCCUAGACGGUAAUUGUUUUUCUUCCCUGGUAAGUGAAAGCUUGUCAAAACCUUUCACCACAUAGACUUCUGCGUAGAUGACAGGGGCACCUGGAUGUCCGUUUAAACCCAAACAAAAUCACAAAGAGAAAGAGAGGAAGCAAAACUAUGGGUUGUUUCCUUCUUCCCCCAAAUUUCCUGAGGGAAAUCAGUGUAUGUGUUGGACCAAAAUUGAAUGCAUUUUUAAUAAUGUGGAGUUUUCCAAAAGAAGGAGUCACUAUAAUUUGAGUCAUGGAACAAUGAGCUGGUGAAGAAAUAUUUUGAAAAAUGGUGGAACACGGAGAGAUGUUUUCAUGUUUAUCUGAAUGGCUCUCUGUGUAUUAAGAGUGCAAAAAUGGCAAAUUAGAAGCUGGGAUCUUUUUCGUCAAAACUGUCCACAAACAAGAUGAUUUCUUGGGGCUAAUUUCCAUUCAGGGAUAGUGAGAGUUAUUUUAAACGACCAAAGCCAUUUCAGAAGGGUAAGAGCAUGUCAAC
This 541-nucleotide long non-coding RNA is filed under the name Pan troglodytes (chimpanzee). RNAcentral describes it as "lncRNA (ENSPTRG00000054224.1)". The record is from RNAcentral. Lineage: Eukaryota; Metazoa; Chordata; Mammalia; Primates; Hominidae.